GUUUACAUUUGGCUGCCCAAAGCCUGUCGGAUUACGGACCCCCCCAAACACACCCGGCCCCCCCGGCCCCCCGCAGUAGCGGCGUGCCGGAGCCCGCCCGCCGACACCUCGCCGCGGCCCGGAGUCUGAAACAGCUGCUCUGAAGAGAUCUUUCACAUGAAUGACUAGGCUGUGAAUUGCUAAGUUCCUGGUUUGCUAUGGACACAACUGUUUCAAUUUCCUGCUGCUGCAUCCUGUUAUUCUUCCCAAGAUUUUGGUGCAGAACAGGGCAGAGAUAACUCACCUGCAGCCGGUGGAUUAGACUGUUGAUAAGAAGGAACAGAUGGUGGCAUCAUCCUGUCUCAGCACCAAGCACUGUCUGGGAGAUGUAUGCCAUGUAAAAAGCAUCCCUGUCUGGAGAAGCAGAUAGUGCUCCUGCAAAGUGAAUUACAGCUUUUGUUUCCCUGGAAAAGAGAAAAAAAAUGAGAAGAGAAGAGAGAAGAGAAGAGAGAAGAGAGGAGAAAGAAGGGAAGAGAAGAGAAGAGAAGAGAAGAGAAGAGAAGAGAAGAGAAGAGAAGAGAA
Long non-coding RNA from Numida meleagris (helmeted guineafowl), 561 nucleotides. RefSeq lists it as uncharacterized. The record is from RefSeq and is a predicted model, not a curated record. NCBI's taxonomy places the organism in Eukaryota, Metazoa, Chordata, Aves, Galliformes, Numididae. The transcript has 5 exons.